GCCUGAGUGGCUCAGUUGGUUGAGCAUCUAACUUCCACUCAGGUCAUGACCUCACAGUUCAUGGGUUCGAGCCCCAUGUCAAGUU
This 85-nucleotide transfer RNA is filed under the name Felis catus (domestic cat). It matches the Rfam family "tRNA". From Rfam's summary of the family: Transfer RNA (tRNA) molecules are approximately 80 nucleotides in length. Their secondary structure includes four short double-helical elements and three loops (D, anti-codon, and T loops). Further hydrogen bonds mediate the characteristic L-shaped molecular structure. tRNAs have two regions of fundamental functional importance: the anti-codon, which is responsible for specific mRNA codon recognition, and the 3' end, to which the tRNAs corresponding amino acid is attached (by aminoacyl-tRNA synthetases). tRNAs cope with the degeneracy of the genetic code in two manners: having more than one tRNA (with a specific anti-codon) for a particular amino acid; and 'wobble' base-pairing, i.e. permitting non-standard base-pairing at the 3rd anti-codon position. The record is from Rfam by way of RNAcentral. RNAcentral also lists the same sequence under 1 other name. Lineage: Eukaryota; Metazoa; Chordata; Mammalia; Carnivora; Felidae.